GUUGUUUAUGCCAGUUACCAACCUGCAAAAAUUAUAUAAAAUAAACAAGUAAGCAAAAGAAUUAAUUCAUCACAUAAAUCCAAAAAGGGAUAACUACUGUUGCAGGCCUAAAACUUGAUUAUUUCUUAUUAUAUUAUCAUAUCUUUAAUCAUUUUUCUCCCUCUUAACAAUCAAGUAGUAACACUCUUAAAAUUGUUCAACAUUAGUCCUAUUUGAUAAUCAAAACCAGUAGCAGAAUCUAUUAGUCAACGCUAAAAAUGCUUCCUUUUUUUAAGACCUAAAACUUUUUAAGAAGUUACACACUUUUCUUUUCUUUUCUUU
RNAcentral lists this unclassified non-coding RNA (321 nucleotides) under Hevea brasiliensis (rubber tree). Lineage: Eukaryota; Viridiplantae; Streptophyta; Magnoliopsida; Malpighiales; Euphorbiaceae. The record is from RNAcentral.